GCUGUGAUGGGGAGAAGACAUUGUGUCUUCGAGUCGUUGAUUUCACACUGCCGAGAAAAGCCUCUAGAUAGAAAAUAGGUGCCCGUACCGCAAACCGACACAGGUAGUCAAGAUGAGAAUUCUAAGGUGAGCGAGCGAACUCUCGUUAAGGAACUCGGCAAAAUGACCCCGUAACUUCGGGAGAAGGGGUGCUCUUUAGGGUUAAC
Molecule: ribosomal RNA, 206 nt
Filed under: Staphylococcus aureus
Lineage: Bacteria; Bacillati; Bacillota; Bacilli; Caryophanales; Staphylococcaceae
Description: partial 23S ribosomal RNA
Rfam family: Bacterial large subunit ribosomal RNA
Source: RNAcentral